UACAUUUGCACCCGAAUUGGUAUCGAUACACCAGCAGGUGUGUUGAUUAAAAGGGAACCGGGUGUGAAUCCCGGACAGGCCCGCUGCUGUGAAGCACGUGAACGUUCCAAAAAAAUCUGCGACCACUGGUCAUAACGGCCGGGAAGGUUUAGGAAUGAGUGUGUUAGUCAGAAGACCUGCCAAUUCAAGUAAAUGUCA
RNAcentral lists this non-coding RNA (198 nucleotides) under Bacteroidota bacterium. The record is from RNAcentral. Lineage: Bacteria; Pseudomonadati; Bacteroidota.